GAUGAACGCUAGCUACAGGCUUAACACAUGCAAGUCGAGGGGCAGCAUGGAAGAAGCUUGCUUCUUCUGAUGGCGACCGGCGCACGGGUGCGUAACGCGUAUCAAACCUGCCUCAUACUCGGGGAUAGCCUUGCGAAAGUAAGAUUAAUACCCGAUGUUGUUAUGUUACCGCAUGGUGAUAUAACCAAAGAUUUAUCGGUAUGAGAUGGUGAUGCGUCCGAUUAGGUAGUAGGCGGGGUAACGGCCCACCUAGCCUUCGAUCGGUAGGGGUUCUGAGAGGAAGGUCCCCCACACUGGAACUGAGACACGGUCCAGACUCCUACGGGAGGCAGCAGUGAGGAAUAUUGGUCAAUGGACGAAAGUCUGAACCAGCCAAGUAGCGUGCAGGAUGACGGCCCUCUGGGUUGUAAACUGCUUUUAGUUGGGAAUAAAAAAGAGGACGUGUCCUCUAAUGUAUGUACCUCAGAAAAAGG
Molecule: ribosomal RNA, 473 nt
Filed under: Alloprevotella sp. oral taxon 473
Lineage: Bacteria; Pseudomonadati; Bacteroidota; Bacteroidia; Bacteroidales; Prevotellaceae
Description: bacterial SSU rRNA
Rfam family: Bacterial small subunit ribosomal RNA
Source: RNAcentral